GAGGAUCCGUACCCUCCAGAGCAGGGGCUGUAUCAUAACCAGGCUGUGAGCUGAACGAGCAUGGGUAUGAUACGACCUCAGUUUGGAGGAGCUCCUCCUC
RNAcentral lists this microRNA precursor (100 nucleotides) under Oryzias latipes (Japanese medaka). RNAcentral describes it as "microRNA ola-mir-729 precursor". Its record names the gene ola-mir-729. The stretch from base 11 to 91 matches the Rfam family "mir-729 microRNA precursor family". Lineage: Eukaryota; Metazoa; Chordata; Actinopteri; Beloniformes; Adrianichthyidae. The record is from miRBase by way of RNAcentral.